This 433-nucleotide ribosomal RNA is filed under the name uncultured bacterium. RNAcentral's name for it is "partial 16S ribosomal RNA". It matches the Rfam family "Bacterial small subunit ribosomal RNA", at positions 29 to 507 of the family's 1533-position model. The record is from RNAcentral.
AACGAACGCUGGCGGCAUGCCUAACACAUGCAAGUCGAACGAGACCUUCGGGUCUAGCGGCGCACGGGUGCGUAACGCGUGGGAAUCUGCCCUUAGCUUCGGAAUAACCCUCCGAAAGGGGUGCUAAUACCGGAUAAUCCCUUCGGAGCAAAGAUUUAUCGCCUAUGGAUCGGCCCGCGUUGGAUUAGCUAGUUGGUAGGGUAAAGGCCUACCAAGGCGACGAUCCAUAGCUGGUCUGAGAGGAUGAUCAGCCACACUGGGACUGAGACACGGCCCAGACUCCUACGGGAGGCAGCAGUGGGGAAUAUUAGACAAUGGGCGAAAGCCUGAUCCAGCAAUGCCGCGUGAGUGAUGAAGGCCUUAGGGUUGUAAAGCUCUUUUAGCCGGGAUGAUAAUGACAGUACCGGGAGAAGAAGCGCCGGCUAACUCCGUG